GCGCCACUAUUGUACAAGGUCGGCAUCGUUUUUGUUUUGAAAGGCGGUGGUGGUGUGGUGUGUGUACGUCCUUUCUGAACCGCCAAUUUUUCGAUAAAAGCCCGAACUGCGUGAGAUUGUGACCAGCGCCAAUAUGGACGUUGCGUCAGGUACGAAAACGGUGCCCGGGGAGAACGUUUCGCAAACCGAGUCUGACAAUCUCGUUGUUCUGGAGCGGCUUGCAGCGAACCUCUUUCUGCGUGUCAACGAGCUUGAAAGAGCGCUGCCGUCGUGCGAGAAUGCUGAUGGAGAGACGGGCUCAGAAACGCAAGCACUAUUGCUAGCACGAGUCUCGGAGCUAGAGUCACAGGUUAGAUCGCUGACCCACGAAAACGAACGCCUCAAGUAUCGGAUCCGGCACUUGGUACGCAGUCUAGAGGCGGUUUUGAGCCCCCGCACCCAGGUCACGAAUACUACCAUAGCGUCAGCAGCAACGCCGGUGAACGGCAACCCAGCGGCCACUGAGUAACACCGAGCUUGAGAAGCGCUACCCCUGGACGUAUGCGUCUGGUACAGGGUGCACCGAUCGAGUCCUCUGGUCAGGCGACACGGUCGGAGCCGCGUCUGUGCACGCUGCUCCGAACGAGCGCGCACUUUGGUACGCGCGACCCUUGUGAAGUUAUUUGCUGAGCGACGUUGACCUGAACUCGUGUGCAGCGUACAAGCAUGGGUACAUUUGCAAGCGGACGCUGGCGCUUGCAGUCGCACAGGGCAGAGCCAGCGCAAUGAAAGAUGGUGCAGCGCGUUAUGUCCGCACCGUUCUGCACUGCGAAUGGAUCGUUCUCCGCCCGUGUCAGCAUUAAAUGAAACGGACUCACUAAUUAGGGCGUACACGCUUAAGUUUGGGUGUCUGCCCGGAGCCAUCAGCAACAUUCGUUGCAGGCUUCUCCGGCUUUCAAGACGCUCGACUCUCUGAUCUCUCUGGCCUCGUUGCAAGCAGUCGAAGGAUGUUGAUGGCAUCUUUCAACUCCCGACUUGGUGCUUCCGGCAGUCGUCAACGCAUUUGAAACACAUGCCAAAAAUUGCGAUUUAUGCCACUAAUGUCACUUUCAUCUCCAUUGUAUGCAGCCGCCGUGAGCUCUUCGCAGCGCUGCCAUUGGACGAUGGUCCGCUUUUUCCAAAUGUCUACGAAGCUUGCCUUUCAGAGGGCCGCUCUGUGGCGCUUGAGCGCUGGCUUAUGCACGCAGCACGAGUCAGCGACGAGCAAAGAAGGCCCUCUUCGAUGCCCUGCGGCCUCUCCGCGUCCGGUGCAGUACCCCAAGAUCACGGGCUUCUUCCAAGCGAUCCCCUUGACAUGUACUUUGUUCGUCGCGGUCGCAAGCGCACGCUCUUCCAUUCGAUAGGGGAUUCGUGGAAUGCGAUGAUGUUCGUAAUGAAACACGUACCGGAAGGAGAACCCAUGCUCGUGAACAAGUGGAGCGUUUUCGAUCCGUCGACGCUCCUCUCAUCCGGUUCAAUGACACAACUAUCGCCCGAAGCGAUUGCUGUGAUGACUCGAGUGCAAGCCGAAGAUCCUGUUCCAUGCAGACAGAAGAGAUGAGUGCCUUUGGAAGCAUUUCCCAGAACAAAUAUCGUGCCUAUGUCGAAUACAGUUCCGUUAAAGGCCAAAAAAGAUGAGGAUUGAUGUUUCGAACGGAAUCGAAUAUUUGAUGGGAUACGUUCAGUGCACUUUCGGCAUGAGCACAUGAAGAACGCAUCAAGGGACGAUGCCGAACGUUCUUCUUCGUACGUCUAGCGGCGGGAACGGUAGUGCGCCUACCAGUUGCAAAGGAGCCGCAAAAUCGACCACUUGAAGCGCGCAAGAUUUGAGCGUGCCACAUGAAAGAAAAAGAGAAGCGUCGAAGUUUGCGCGUAUGUAUUGGUUGAUGAUGCCCAAUCGUGUAGGAAAGCUUGUCUCAUGGCGUUGCGGAUCAUCCUGGUGAAGGUAACGUAACGAAUACCAGGAACGAUGCGUCGAAGGAGCCACUCCGGACAGACGACCAAACAUCCUAAACCUACGUA
Molecule: unclassified non-coding RNA, 2040 nt
Filed under: Cyanidioschyzon merolae strain 10D
Lineage: Eukaryota; Rhodophyta; Bangiophyceae; Cyanidiales; Cyanidiaceae
Description: hypothetical transcript
Source: RNAcentral